CUAUACAUGCAAGUCGAGCGCGCCCUUCGGGGUGAGCGGCGGACGGGUGAGUAACGCGUGGGAAUAUGCCCUUCUCUAAGGAAUAGCCUCUGGAAACGGAGAGUAAUACCUUAUACGCCCUUCGGGGGAAAGAUUUAUCGGAGAAGGAUUAGCCCGCGUUAGAUUAGGUAGUUGGUGGGGUAAUGGCCUACCAAGCCUACGAUCUAUAGCUGGUUUGAGAGGAUGAUCAGCCACACUGGGACUGAGACACGGCCCAGACUCCUACGGGAGGCAGCAGUAGGGAAUCUUAGACAAUGGGGGCAACCCUGAUCUAGCCAUGCCGCGUGUGUGAUGAAGGCCCUAGGGUCGUAAAGCACUUUCGCCAGAGAUGAUAAUGACAGUAUCUGGUAAAGAAACCCCGGCUAACUCCGUGCCAGCAGCCGCGGUAAUACGGAGGGGGUUAGCGUUGUUCGGAAUUACUGGGCGUAAAGCGCACGUAGGCGGAUUAGUAAGUUAGAGGUGAAAUCCCAGGGCUCAACCCUGGAACUGCCUUUAAUACUGCUAGUCUUGAGUUCGAGAGAGGUAAGUGGAAUUCCGAGUGUAGAGGUGAAAUUCGUAGAAAUUCUGAGGAACACCAGUGGCGAAGGCGGGUUACUGGCUCGAUACUGACGCUGAGGUGCGAAAGUGUGGGGA
RNAcentral lists this ribosomal RNA (672 nucleotides) under uncultured marine bacterium. RNAcentral describes it as "bacterial SSU rRNA". It matches the Rfam family "Bacterial small subunit ribosomal RNA", at positions 49 to 767 of the family's 1533-position model. The record is from RNAcentral.